UACGUAGGGGGCAAGCGUUAUCCGGAUUUACUGGGUGUAAAGGGAGCGUAGACGGCAGUGCAAGUCUGGAGUGAAAGGCGGGGGCUCAACCCCCGGACUGCUCUGGAAACUGUACGGCUGGAGUGCAGGAGAGGUAAGUGGAAUUCCUGGUGUAGCGGUGAAAUGCGUAGAUAUUAGGAGGAACACCAGUGGCGAAGGCGGCUUACUGGACUGUAACUGACGUUGAGGCUCGAAAGCGUGGGGAGCAAACAGG
This 253-nucleotide ribosomal RNA is filed under the name uncultured bacterium. RNAcentral's name for it is "partial 16S ribosomal RNA". It matches the Rfam family "Bacterial small subunit ribosomal RNA", at positions 524 to 776 of the family's 1533-position model. The record is from RNAcentral.